UUCGGAAUUACUGGGCGUAAAGGGCUCGUAGGUGGCCAACUAAGUCAGACGUGAAAUCCCUCGGCUUAACCGGGGAACUGCGUCUGAUACUGGAUGGCUUGAGUUUGGGAGAGGGACGCGGAAUUCCAGGUGUAGCGGUGAAAUGCGUAGAUAUCUGGAGGAACACCGGUGGCGAAGGCGGCGUCCUGGACCAACACUGACACUGAGGAGCGAAAGCCAGGGGAGCAAACGGG
Molecule: ribosomal RNA, 233 nt
Filed under: uncultured bacterium
Lineage: Bacteria
Description: partial 16S ribosomal RNA
Rfam family: Bacterial small subunit ribosomal RNA
Source: RNAcentral